AAGUGUGUUAGUUUAAUGGUAGAACCUAACGCUACGGUCGUUAUGGUACAAGUUCGAGUCUUGUAUGCACUU
RNAcentral lists this transfer RNA (72 nucleotides) under Diaporthe longicolla. RNAcentral's name for it is "tRNA-Arg". It matches the Rfam family "tRNA". From Rfam's summary of the family: Transfer RNA (tRNA) molecules are approximately 80 nucleotides in length. The record is from RNAcentral. Lineage: Eukaryota; Fungi; Ascomycota; Sordariomycetes; Diaporthales; Diaporthaceae.